GACGAACGCUGGCGGCAUGCCUAACACAUGCAAGUCGAACGGAGAUUAUUUCGAUAAUCUUAGUGGCGAACGGGUGAGUAACGCGUGGGCAACCUGCCCUCUAGAUGGGGACAACAUCCCGAAAGGGGUGCUAAUACCGAAUGUGACAGCAAUCUCGCAUGAGGAUACUGUGAAAGAUGGCCUCUAUUUAUAAGCUAUCGCUAGAGGAUGGGCCUGCGUCUGAUUAGCUAGUUGGUGGGGUAACGGCCUACCAAGGCGAUGAUCAGUAGCCGGUCUGAGAGGAUGAACGGCCACAUUGGGACUGAGACACGGCCCAGACUCCUACGGGAGGCAGCAGUGGGGAAUCUUCCGCAAUGGGCGAAAGCCUGACGGAGCAAUGCCGCGUGAGUGAUGAAGGAAUUCGUUCCGUAAAGCUCUUUUGUUUAUGACGAAUGUGCAGGUUGUGAAUAAUGACUUGUAAUGACGG
RNAcentral lists this ribosomal RNA (466 nucleotides) under uncultured bacterium. Its description in RNAcentral is "bacterial SSU rRNA". It matches the Rfam family "Bacterial small subunit ribosomal RNA", at positions 28 to 475 of the family's 1533-position model. The record is from RNAcentral.